GUGCCAGCAGCCGCGGUAAGACGAACCGUGCGAACGUUGUUCGGAUUCACUGGGCUUAAAGGGCGCGUAGGCGGCAGGUAAAGUCCGGGGUGAAAUCUUUCAGCUUAACUGGAAAAGUGCCCCGGAUACUGACUUGCUCGAGGGAGGCAGGGGCCGAGGGAACUUCCGGUGGAGCGGUGAAAUGCGUAGAGAUCGGAAGGAACGCCGGUGGCGAAAGCGCUCGGCUGGACCUCUUCUGACGCUGAGGCGCGAAAGCUAGGGGAGCAAACGGGAUUAGAUACCCCGGUAGUCCUAGCCCUAAACGAUGGGUACUAGAUUGUGGACUGAACAUGGGUUCCCAGUCGAAGCAAAAGUGUUAAGUACCCCGCCUGGGGAGUAUGGUCGCAAGGCUGAAACCUAAAGGAAUUGACGG
This 412-nucleotide ribosomal RNA is filed under the name uncultured bacterium. RNAcentral describes it as "bacterial SSU rRNA". It matches the Rfam family "Bacterial small subunit ribosomal RNA", at positions 505 to 916 of the family's 1533-position model. The record is from RNAcentral.